RNAcentral lists this ribosomal RNA (492 nucleotides) under uncultured bacterium. RNAcentral's name for it is "partial 16S ribosomal RNA". It matches the Rfam family "Bacterial small subunit ribosomal RNA", at positions 29 to 507 of the family's 1533-position model. The record is from RNAcentral.
AGUGAACGCUGGCGAUAGGCCUAACACAUGCCAGUCGAACGGCAGCACAGUAAGAGCUUGCUCUUACGGGUGGCGAGUGGCGGACGGGUGAGGAAUACAUCGGAAUCUACUUUUUCGUGGGGGAUAACGUAGGGAAACUUACGCUAAUACCGCAUACGACCUACGUGUGAAAGCACGGGAUCUUCGGACCUUGCGCGAUUGAAUGAGCCGAUGUAGGAUUAGCUAGUUGGCGGGGUAAAGGCGCACCAAGGCUACGAUCCGUAUCUGGUCCGAGAGGAUGAAUCGCCACACUGGAAGUGAGACACGGUCCAGACUCCUACGGGAGGCCGCAGUGGGGAAUAUUGGACGAUGGGCGCAAGCCUGAUCCAGCCAUACCGCCUAGAUGAAGAAGGACUUCGGGUUGUAGAGCCAUUUUGUUGGGAAAGAAAAGCAGCAGUUUCAUCCCCCGCUGUUCUGACGGUACCCAAAGAAUAAGCCCCGGCUAACUUCGUG